This 504-nucleotide ribosomal RNA is filed under the name uncultured bacterium. Its description in RNAcentral is "partial 16S ribosomal RNA". It matches the Rfam family "Bacterial small subunit ribosomal RNA", at positions 30 to 523 of the family's 1533-position model. The record is from RNAcentral.
AUUGAACGCUGGCGGCAGGCCUAACACAUGCAAGUCGAACGGUAGCACAGAGAGCUUGCUCUCGGGUGACGAGUGGCGGACGGGUGAGUAACGUCUGGGAAACUGCCCGAUGGAGGGGGAUAACUACUGGAAACGGUAGCUAAUACCGCAUAACGUCGCAAGACCAAAGUGGGGGACCUUCGGGCCUCACACCAUCGGAUGUGCCCAGAUGGGAUUAGCUAGCAGGUGGGGUAAUGGCUCACCUAGGCGACGAUCCCUAGCUGGUCUGAGAGGAUGACCGGCCACACUGGAACUGAGACACGGUCCAGACUCCUACGGGAGGCAGCAGUGGGGAAUAUUGCACAAUGGGCGCAAGCCUGAUGCAGCCAUGCCGCGUGUAUGAAGAAGGCCUUCGGGUUGUAAAGUACUUUCAGCGGGGAGGAAGGCGGUGAAGUUAAUAGCUUCACCGAUUGACGUUACCCGCAGAAUAAGCACCGGCUAACUACGUGCCAGCAGCCGCCGUAA